Molecule: ribosomal RNA, 488 nt
Filed under: uncultured bacterium
Lineage: Bacteria
Description: bacterial SSU rRNA
Rfam family: Bacterial small subunit ribosomal RNA
Source: RNAcentral
CUACGUGCCAGCAGCCGCGGUAAUACGUAGGUGGCAAGCGUUGUCCGGAAUUAUUGGGCGUAAAGCGCGCGCAGGCGGAUUGGUCAGUCUGUCUUAAAAGUUCGGGGCUUAACCCCGUGAUGGGAUGGAAACUGCCAAUCUAGAGUAUCGGAGAGGAAAGUGGAAUUCCUAGUGUAGCGGUGAAAUGCGUAGAUAUUAGGAAGAACACCAGCGGCGAAGGCGACUUUCUGGACGAAAACUGACGCUGAGGCGCGAAAGCCAGGGGAGCGAACGGGAUUAGAUACCCUGGUAGUCCAUGCCGUAAACGUUGGGCACUAGGUGUGGGGGACAUUCCACGUUUUCCGCGCCGUAGCUAACGCAUUAAGUGCCCCGCCUGGGGAGUACGGCCGCAAGGCUAAAACUCAAAGAAAUUGACGGGGGCCCGCACAAGCGGCGGAGCAUGCGGAUUAAUUCGAUGCAACGCGAAGAACCUUACCAAGGCUUGACAU